AUGUUCUAAAGGGAUGUCAUCAUUUACAAAAUGUCUUUGUUGAGUCUGAAUGGUUCAAGCAAUAGCAAAAAAGGAUUAUUUCUCUCUUGGACAUUUCAAAGUACUAUGCCACAAAAUAUCCAAGACUUGUUAUGGUGAGGAGCCAAGUGGAAUGGAAAGGACAGCUCAUCCUGGCGGCUGGGAGUGCAUGCACACACAUGCCCCCUUUUUCUUGCCUACUAACAGGAUCUAUAGAAGGAGUACAUAAUGAAGCAAGAGAUGGACCCUGAGGGUACUUGAAGCCAACAAGUUUCACUUCUGGAAAAAGACUUCAGAAUAUGAGUUUAAAAUAUAAAAAGGGAAUUUGAGCCAAGACACAAGAACAAACAUUUUUUUGACAAUUAUAUCUUUAUUAUUCCUCUUACAGAGCUACAUUUACUCUUACUAAGUUUCAGAGUCAGGUAGUAAUUUACAGUAAGACUGAAUUACCAUCCAUAACGUUAGAUGUCCUUAUUGAAACUUCAACAUCAUUUCCAAAUAUCAGCAUUAGCAUUGUGCUUGACAUUCAUUUAACGAAGUUACUGAAAAUCUAUUAAGUAUAAGACAUCAGUUAUUUUUAAUAGAACUUUCUGAAAACAUUUCAGCAAAAUAGCCUGUUGAGAAAAAUGUGUAUGCUGAAAAAAAAAAAAACGAACAAAUAGGAAAGCCUGGUUCACAAACAGGUGUCAGGGAAAUAGACAGUACUUUUAUAGUAAUAACAUAAGGACAAACUUCUUGAAGGUAAGUUUUAUUAAAUAAUAGGACAACAACAAGAUAAAAUGACUUCUUCCUGAUAUUUAUAUAUUGAUUGCUGAUAUUUAUAUAUUGAUAUUUAUAUAUUGAUAUUUAUAUAUUGAUUCCUGAUAUUUAUAUAUUGAUUGCUGGUCAUAAGACUAUUUUUAGGCAAUGUGUUUUGAAAAACCAGAAAGUCUACUACCUUGAGUUUUCAGCCACGUGAGAAUAGCAAGAUUCAGUGUUUAUACUUGAUAGCAUCUUAAUUAGGCCUACAGGCCUCCCUUUCACAUAACUACCUUCAAGUUUAUGACAGCUCAAACUCACAAUUAUCAUUAUGGAGAAGAGAGAAGAGUUAAGCUAAAAACAGACCACUUUCAGAGGACCUGAAAGCAACGUAAUCAGUCACCUAUUGCCAUAUACAAGCCACCCCCAAACAUAAUGACUUAAAACAGCAAUCAUCUGUUAUUGCUUAUGAGUCUCUGAGUCAGCUGAACAUUCCUGCUGAUCUGGGCUUGGUUAGGCUUAUUUUAGCUAUGUUCAUUCUUGUUCUGCAGAUAGCUGACAAUCACCUAGGGGCUGACUGUAGGCAUUCCGGCUGAGAUAUGCUCUCUGUGUCUUUUAUCCUUUAGCAGGAGGAGGCUUGCUCACAGGGUGGUUACAGGCAUCCAAGAGAGUCAACAUAAAUGUGAAAAGUUUCCAAAAUAUCAGAUUCAGUCCUAUGUAAUCUGGUUUCCAUUGCAUUCUCUUGGCCAAAGCAAGUUGCAAGACAAGUCCAAAUUCAAGAAGGUCAAGAAAUACACUCCAUCUCCAGGUAGGAGAAGCUGCAAAGAACUGUGACAAUCUAUGACAAAUAGUAUGUUCAAGGGGAAUAAUAUGGGAAGAUGUGCCCUCCGCCAGCUUCUCAGGGAAAAAUACAGCUUUUGUAAUAUUUAGUAAUAUAGACUGUCUAAUAUUUCUAGAGAUAUCUAUGACUUUCAGUUGAAAUAUCUGAGGCCAACACUCCAAGCAAUUUUAAACAAGUGGUGACAGAAAUUACCAGACACACAUCAAGACUCAAGUAUAAAGCUAUACAAUUUAAGGAUGCUCAGCAAAUGUUACUGAAUUGACUGGGUAGUCCCUAAAGAGCUGAAGAAUAAAAGAUGUUAUGAGAAACCCAACAAUACCAAAUAUAAAUUGCCUCAGGUUCUGAAAUAUUCAAUAAAGUAUUCUCACUGUAGUUCCUUCAGCUUAGCUGAUUUGGACUUUGGCUGUGAAAACAUUAUCCUCAGUGUUUAAAAGGUUGGAAAAUUCUACUGGCUCUUUGGCCCAACCUGGAAUUAAAUCCUGAUGCUAUCUUAGAACCUCAAAGUCUAAAAUCUUCUAUUGUCACUUUACAGAGCUGUUGAAACAUAUUAAUAAACUUGUAUCAUACUGA
Molecule: long non-coding RNA, 2167 nt
Filed under: Pan troglodytes (chimpanzee)
Lineage: Eukaryota; Metazoa; Chordata; Mammalia; Primates; Hominidae
Description: lincRNA
Source: RNAcentral